CCUACGGGGUGCAGCAGUGAGGAAUAUUGGUCAAUGGGCGUAAGCCUGAACCAGCCAAGUCGCGUGAGGGAUGAAGGUUCUAUGGAUCGUAAACUUCUUUUAUAAAGGAAUAAAGUGAGGCACGUGUGCCUUUUUGUAUGUAUUUUAUGAAUAAGGAUCGGCUAACUCCGUGCCAGCAGCCGCGGUAAUACGGAGGAUCCGAGCGUUAUCCGGAUUUAUUGGGUUUAAAGGGAGCGUAGAUGGGUUGUUAAGUCAGUUGGGAAAGUUUGCGGCUCAACCGUAAAAUUGCAAUUGAUACUGGCAGCCUUGAGUACAGUUGAGGUAGGCGGAAUUCGUGGUGUAGCGGUGAAAUGCUUAGAUAUCACGAAGAACUCCGAUUGCGAAGGCAGCCUACUAAACUGCCACUGACAUUGAUGCUCGAAAGUGUGGGUAUCAAACAGGAUUAGAUACCCUAGUAGUC
RNAcentral lists this ribosomal RNA (460 nucleotides) under uncultured bacterium. Its description in RNAcentral is "partial 16S ribosomal RNA". It matches the Rfam family "Bacterial small subunit ribosomal RNA", at positions 338 to 795 of the family's 1533-position model. The record is from RNAcentral.